GCCGAAGUGGCGGAAUUGGCAGACGCGCCAGAUUCAGGUUCUGGUGCCCGUAAAGGGCGUGGAGGUUCAAAUCCUCUCUUCGGCA
Molecule: transfer RNA, 85 nt
Filed under: Planctomycetales bacterium
Lineage: Bacteria; Pseudomonadati; Planctomycetota; Planctomycetia; Planctomycetales
Also listed under: 1 other name
Description: tRNA-Leu
Rfam family: tRNA
About the family: Transfer RNA (tRNA) molecules are approximately 80 nucleotides in length.
Source: RNAcentral